RNAcentral lists this ribosomal RNA (253 nucleotides) under uncultured bacterium. RNAcentral's name for it is "partial 16S ribosomal RNA". It matches the Rfam family "Bacterial small subunit ribosomal RNA", at positions 524 to 776 of the family's 1533-position model. The record is from RNAcentral.
UACGUAGGGCGCGAGCGUUGUCCGGAUUUAUUGGGCGUAAAGAGCUCGUAGGCGGUUUGUCGCGUCGGCCGUGAAAACUCACAGCUUAACUGUGAGCUUGCGGUCGAUACGGGCAGGCUAGAGUUCGGUAGGGGAGACUGGAAUUCCUGGUGUAGCGGUGAAAUGCGCAGAUAUCAGGAGGAACACCGGUGGCGAAGGCGGGUCUCUGGGCCGAUACUGACGCUGAGGAGCGAAAGCGUGGGGAGCGAACAGG